This 440-nucleotide ribosomal RNA is filed under the name uncultured bacterium. RNAcentral's name for it is "partial 16S ribosomal RNA". It matches the Rfam family "Bacterial small subunit ribosomal RNA", at positions 338 to 795 of the family's 1533-position model. The record is from RNAcentral.
CCUACGGGUGGCAGCAGUGGGGGAUAUUGCACAAUGGGGGAAACCCUGAUGCAGCGACGCCGCGUGGGUGAAGAAGGGCCUCGGCGCGUAAAGCCCUGUCAGCAGGGAAGAAAAUGACGGUACCUGAAGAAGAAGCCCCGGCUAACUACGUGCCAGCAGCCGCGGUAAUACGUAGGGGGCAAGCGGUGGCCGGAUUUACUGGGGGUAAAGGGGGCGGAGACGGCGAUGCAAGCCAGGAGUGAAAGCCCGGGGCCCAACCCCGGGACGGCUCUUGGAACUGCGUGGCUAGAGUGCAGGAGGGGCAGGCGGAAUUCCUGGUGUAGCGGUGAAAUGCGUAGAUAUCAGGAGGAACACCGGUGGCGAAGGCGGCCUGCUGGACUGCAACUGACGUUGAGGCCCGAAAGCGUGGGGAGCAAACAGGAUUAGAUACCCUUGUAGUC